Molecule: ribosomal RNA, 468 nt
Filed under: uncultured bacterium
Lineage: Bacteria
Description: partial 16S ribosomal RNA
Rfam family: Bacterial small subunit ribosomal RNA
Source: RNAcentral
GACGAACGCUGGCGGCGUGCUUAACACAUGCAAGUCGAACGGAAAGGCCCUGCUUUUGUGGGGUGCUCGAGUGGCGAACGGGUGAGUAACACGUGAGUAACCUGCCCUUGAUUUUGGGAUAACUUCAGGAAACUGGGGCUAAUACCGGAUAGGAGCUCCUGCUGCAUGGUGGGGGUUGGAAAGUUUCGGCGGUUGGGGAUGGACUCGCGGCUUAUCAGCUUGCUGGUGGGGUAGUGGCUUACCAAGGCAUUGACGGGUAGCCGGCCUGGGAGGGUGACCGGCCACAUUGGGACUGAGAUACGGACCAGACUCCUACGGGAGGCAGAAGUGGGGAAUAUUGCACAAUGGGCGGGAGCCUGAUGCAGCAACGCCGCGUGCGGGAUGACGGCCUUCGGGUUGUAAACCGCUUUCGCCUGUGACGAAGCGUGAGUGACGGUAAUGGGUAAAGAAGCACCGGCUAACUACGUG